This 343-nucleotide ribosomal RNA is filed under the name uncultured bacterium. RNAcentral describes it as "bacterial SSU rRNA". It matches the Rfam family "Bacterial small subunit ribosomal RNA", at positions 28 to 371 of the family's 1533-position model. The record is from RNAcentral.
GACGAACGCUGGCGGCGUGCUUAACACAUGCAAGUCGAGCGGUAAGGCCCUUUCGGGGGUACACGAGCGGCGAACGGGUGAGUAACACGUGGGUGACCUGCCCUCAGCUCUGGGAUAAGCCUGGGAAACCGGGUCUAAUACCGGAUAUGACUCCAUGACGCAUGUUGUGGGGUGGAAAGCCUUGUGCGGCUGAGGAUGGGCCCGCGGCCUAUCAGCUUGUUGGUGGGGUNAUGGCCUACCAAGGCGACGACGGGUAGCCGGCCUGAGAGGGCGACCGGCCACACUGGGACUGAGACACGGCCCAGACUCCUACGGGAGGCAGCAGGUGGGGAGUCUUGCGCAA